AACGAGGGACCGAUCGUUGCGUUAAUUAGCAAGAGCCGCGCGCAUCAAGGCACUGGCAGAGAAUACUCGAGGGGAGGCUGGACAGGUCUGCGCCUCAUCCAGGAGGAAGGAGUGCGGCACGGUGGUGCGGUGGGUAGCACUGUCGCCUCACAGCAAGAAGGUUCUGGGUUCCCUGUCCAGGGUGUACCCUGCCUCUCGCCUCGCUGGGAUAGGCUCCAGCACCCCCGUGACACUAAUUAAAACAAUUCAAGUGCUUGAGAAGUAAAUUUGAACCUUGAGUGAAGUAUCCUGUUAUACUAAUAAAGAGCAAACCUGUAAAACCA
This 323-nucleotide long non-coding RNA is filed under the name Betta splendens (Siamese fighting fish). RNAcentral's name for it is "lncRNA (ENSBSLG00000023151.1)". Lineage: Eukaryota; Metazoa; Chordata; Actinopteri; Anabantiformes; Osphronemidae. The record is from RNAcentral.